Molecule: ribosomal RNA, 304 nt
Filed under: uncultured bacterium
Lineage: Bacteria
Description: partial 16S ribosomal RNA
Rfam family: Bacterial small subunit ribosomal RNA
Source: RNAcentral
CAGCAGCAGCCGCGGGAAUACGUAGGGUGCGAGCGUUAAUCGGAAUUACUGGGCGUAAAGCGUGCGCAGGCGGUUGUGUAAGACAGGUGUGAAAUCCCCGGGCUUAACCUGGGAACUGCGCUUGUGACUGCACAGCUAGAGUAUGGCAGAGGGGGGUAGAAUUCCACGUGUAGCAGUGAAAUGCGUAGAGAUGUGGGGGAACACCGAUGGCGAAGGCAGCCCCCUGGGCCAAUACUGACGCUCAUGCACGAAAGCGUGGGGAGCAAACAGGAUUAGAUACCCCUGUAGUCCCUGUCUCUUAUAC